Molecule: ribosomal RNA, 225 nt
Filed under: uncultured bacterium
Lineage: Bacteria
Description: partial 16S ribosomal RNA
Rfam family: Bacterial small subunit ribosomal RNA
Source: RNAcentral
AGUAACGCGUGGGUAACCUGCCUUGUACAGGGGGAUAACAGUUGGAAACGGCUGCUAAUACCGCAUAAGCGCACGGCAUCGCAUGAUGCAGUGUGAAGAACUCCGGUGGUAUAAGAUGGACCCGCGUUGGAUUAGCUAGUUGGUGAGGUAACGGCCCACCAAGGCGACGAUCCAUAGCCGACCUGAGAGGGUGACCGGCCACAUUGGGACUGAGACACGGCCCAA